Molecule: ribosomal RNA, 500 nt
Filed under: uncultured archaeon
Lineage: Archaea
Description: bacterial SSU rRNA
Rfam family: Archaeal small subunit ribosomal RNA
Source: RNAcentral
GAUCCCGCCGGANGCGACCGCUAUUGGAAUUCGAUUAANCCAUGCGAGUCGAGAGUCUUAGGGACUCGGCGUACCGCUCAGUAACACGUGGGUAACCUGCCCUGUGCUGGGGAAUAACCUCGGGAAACUGAGAAUAAUGCCCCAUAGUUCACUACGCCUGGAACGGUGGGUGGAUCAAAGCUCCGGCGGCACAGGAUGGGCCUGCGGCGUAUCAGGUUGUAGGGGGUGUAACGUACCCUCUAGCCUUCAACGCGUACGGGUUGUGGGGGCAAUCGCCCGGAGAUGGAUUCUGAGACACGAAUCCAGACCCUACGGGGUGCAGCAGGCGCGAAAACUUCACACUGCAGGAAACUGUGAUGAGGGAAUUCCAAGUGGCUAGACAAAGUCUAGUCUUUUUGUAACUUUUAAUCGGUUACAGAAUAAGGGGUGGGAAAGACCGGUGCCAGCCGCCGCGGUAAUACCGGCACCUCAAGUGGUCGUCGCUUUUAUUGGGCCUAAAA